Spinacia oleracea (spinach) is the source of this 1233-nucleotide long non-coding RNA. RefSeq lists it as uncharacterized. The transcript has 8 exons. Lineage: Eukaryota; Viridiplantae; Streptophyta; Magnoliopsida; Caryophyllales; Amaranthaceae. The record is from RefSeq and is a predicted model, not a curated record.
CUAAUUCCUGGGAAGCGCAUCUUUUGAGUUUCUCGCUGCUUCCCCUUUGUUGCUGGUGCUCGUGCUCCCCUUUGUUCUUGCUGCUCCCGCGGACUACUCUUCUUCUGCACCGUUUUUCUUCAAAUCGGCGUCGAAUUCAUCGACCGUCUCGCACUUAUGGCUGAGGUUAGUGAUGAAUUCGGCGAGUACUUUGUCGCCGACUCCGACUAUGAGUUUCAAGUUCGGAGCAUACCUUUGAAACGAGGGAGAGAUAUUCCAAUUUCUUCAGUCCGUCGCCUUUGCUUUCCUCAACUGCCGCCAUUGUUGCUGCUGCUUCAAUAAUCGAUUUUCAUCGACGGUCUCGCACUUUGUUGGUGGGAUUUCGAAAGUGAAAAUUGAAUACCCGUGUCAAUUUUUAAGGAAGUGAUAUUGGUGCUGAUAAAACACAUUCUUCAAUCUCUCCCUAAAUAUUAUUCAGAAUAUCAACUUGUAUGAGGAGCUUGCUGCUUCUAGAGGAUAUGAGCAAUAACUACAGGAAAAGCUCUUAAAGGAGACCAAGGAAUCCUGAUUAGGAGCUAUUAAAGUAGCAAUUAAAUACAAUAAUGCAACGAGCUCGGGCUCUUGUGGCUCUGUCAUAUUUGAACCUUAGCAGAUGUGGCCUGUUUGAUCAUGUUUUUGAUAAGCUCUCUGGACUUAAGAAUUUGAAGGUGUUCAAUCUGGCCUUCAACAACAUAACAGAUACAUAUAUGUUUGGUUCAUCUCAAAGGGUAAGGCGGUAGUAUUUUUGACGGGUCUGUCACCGGGUCUAAUGUGGAGUAGCAGGAAGGGAAGCUGAUUGUCCAGAAAUAGAGGUUUUGGGAAUUGGCCUGAUGGCGUUUUCUCUACGGAACACCCUAGGUACCGUGAAUAAUAAUCAAAUUGUGAAACGUGGAUACUAGUUAUGGGAGGAAAGAUAGGAAAAGAGAGCAUGGAACAAACAUGAGUUUUUGUCUUGUGGUUCGCAGCGAGGAAAUGAACGCUUUAAAUCUAAAGGUUUUCAAAACUCCAAAGGAAGGACCCUUUACCAAAGAGGAGUUGGAUGAAGUUCGAGACAAGUGGGCUACUUACUUCAACGAUUGUGAACUACCCUCAGUGUAAUAAAUAGAGCAGGCUUGUAGUUAUCCGUGACUCUUACAUUAUUUUGUUAUUUAUCGAUUUAUUUAAUUACAUUUGAAUUAAUUCGGUAAUAUUAUUGGAAACUUGAAAUUUAUAUCA